This 732-nucleotide ribosomal RNA is filed under the name Bacillus amyloliquefaciens. RNAcentral's name for it is "bacterial SSU rRNA". It matches the Rfam family "Bacterial small subunit ribosomal RNA", at positions 44 to 757 of the family's 1533-position model. Lineage: Bacteria; Bacillati; Bacillota; Bacilli; Caryophanales; Bacillaceae. The record is from RNAcentral.
GGGUGCUAUACAUGCAAGUCGAAGCGGACAGAUGGGAGCUUGCUCCCUGAUGUUAGCGGCGGACGGGUGAGUAACACGUGGGUAACCUGCCUGUAAGACUGGGAUAACUCCGGGAAACCGGGGCUAAUACCGGAUGGUUGUUUGAACCGCAUGGUUCAGACAUAAAAGGUGGCUUCGGCUACCACUUACAGAUGGACCCGCGGCGCAUUAGCUAGUUGGUGAGGUAACGGCUCACCAAGGCGACGAUGCGUAGCCGACCUGAGAGGGUGAUCGGCCACACUGGGACUGAGACACGGCCCAGACUCCUACGGGAGGCAGCAGUAGGGAAUCUUCCGCAAUGGACGAAAGUCUGACGGAGCAACGCCGCGUGAGUGAUGAAGGUUUUCGGAUCGUAAAGCUCUGUUGUUAGGGAAGAACAAGUGCCGUUCAAAUAGGGCGGCACCUUGACGGUACCUAACCAGAAAGCCACGGCUAACUACGUGCCAGCAGCCGCGGUAAUACGUAGGUGGCAAGCGUUGUCCGGAAUUAUUGGGCGUAAAGGGCUCGCAGGCGGUUUCUUAAGUCUGAUGUGAAAGCCCCCGGCUCAACCGGGGAGGGUCAUUGGAAACUGGGGAACUUGAGUGCAGAAGAGGAGAGUGGAAUUCCACGUGUAGCGGUGAAAUGCGUAGAGAUGUGGAGGAACACCAGUGGCGAAGGCGACUCUCUGGUCUGUAACUGACGCUGAGGAGCGAA